RNAcentral lists this transfer RNA (70 nucleotides) under Dallia pectoralis (Alaska blackfish). RNAcentral's name for it is "tRNA-OTHER". It matches the Rfam family "tRNA". From Rfam's summary of the family: Transfer RNA (tRNA) molecules are approximately 80 nucleotides in length. Their secondary structure includes four short double-helical elements and three loops (D, anti-codon, and T loops). The record is from RNAcentral. Lineage: Eukaryota; Metazoa; Chordata; Actinopteri; Esociformes; Umbridae.
GGGGGUAUAGCUCAGUGGUAGAGCAUUUGACUGCAGAUCAAGAGGUCAGGUUCAAAUCCUGGUGCCCCUA